This 480-nucleotide ribosomal RNA is filed under the name uncultured bacterium. RNAcentral describes it as "partial 16S ribosomal RNA". It matches the Rfam family "Bacterial small subunit ribosomal RNA", at positions 28 to 523 of the family's 1533-position model. The record is from RNAcentral.
GACAAACGCUGGUGGCGUGCCUAAUACAUGCAAGUCGAACGACGAAAGCCUUCGGGCAAGUAAGAGUGGCGCACGGGCGAGGAACACGUAGAUAAUCUGCCCUUCAGUGGGGAAUAACUCUCCGAAAGGAGUGCUAAUACCGCAUAAGACCACAAGCUCUGCGGAGCAAGGGGUUAAAGGAUUUAUUCGCUGAAGGAUGAGUCUGCGUCCGAUUAGCUAGUUGGUGAGGUAAUGGCUUACCAAGGCAAUGAUCGGUAGAUAGUCUGAGAGGAUGAUCAUCUGCACUGGAACUGAGACACGGUCCAGACUCCUACGGGAGGCAGAAGUAGGGAAUAUUGCACAAUGGGGGAAACCCUGAUGCAGCAACGCCGCGUGAGUGAUGAAGGCUCUAGGGUCGUAAAGCUCUGUCGUAUGGGAAGAAAAAAAUGACGGUACCAUACAAGAAAGGACCGGCCAACUUCGUGCCAGCCGCCGCCGUAA